This is a non-coding RNA of Ictalurus punctatus (channel catfish), 618 nucleotides long. The record is from the annotation of a RefSeq genome assembly. Lineage: Eukaryota; Metazoa; Chordata; Actinopteri; Siluriformes; Ictaluridae.
UUCAGAAUGCAGCAUGUGAAAGGAGGAGCUGAAAUGGGUCUGAUGUCAUUUCCUUCAUCUGGUCCUCAGCAGGAUGCUUUUGUAGCAGUCUCUGGUCCUCAUCCCCUCUCUUGCCAUUAUUAUGAAUCAAUAUGAUUAGUGUUAUCAUCUUCCUGCCUUUCUUGCUUCUCUGGACUCCAGUUUUAACAGGAGAGAAUGGGGUCACCCAAAGCCCGAGUGUUGCCUGGCAUCUGAAAGGAGAAUCUGCUGAAAUGAAGUGCAGUCAUAAUAAAGGUGCUGAAUAUUAUCAAAUGUACUGGUACAGACAGCGCCAAGGAGAGAGUAUGGAGCUCAUCGUGUACACCACAGCCAGUAGUGAACCAGACUUUGGCUCAGUUGAUAAAAAUAAAUUUUCUACUGUUAAAAAAUUAGCUACAAAUGGAUCUCUAACUGUGAAGGAUCUGGAUACAGAGGACAGCGCUGUAUAUUUCUGUGCAGUAAGAGAACACAACGUUACAGUUCACCUGCACUGCUGAACAAAAACACCUGCACUGAUAUUACUGCAAUAACUAAUACAACAGACAGAGGGAGUCCUCUUCUAUUUUCUUUUUUUCUGCACAUCACCUUUACUCAUACUGU